Molecule: ribosomal RNA, 2900 nt
Filed under: Escherichia coli
Lineage: Bacteria; Pseudomonadati; Pseudomonadota; Gammaproteobacteria; Enterobacterales; Enterobacteriaceae
Description: bacterial LSU rRNA
Rfam family: Bacterial large subunit ribosomal RNA
Source: RNAcentral
UAAGCGACUAAGCGUACACGGUGGAUGCCCUGGCAGUCAGAGGCGAUGAAGGACGUGCUAAUCUGCGAUAAGCGUCGGUAAGGUGAUAUGAACCGUUAUAACCGGCGAUUUCCGAAUGGGGAAACCCAGUGUGAUUCGUCACACUAUCAUUAACUGAAUCCAUAGGUUAAUGAGGCGAACCGGGGGAACUGAAACAUCUAAGUACCCCGAGGAAAAGAAAUCAACCGAGAUUCCCCCAGUAGCGGCGAGCGAACGGGGAGCAGCCCAGAGCCUGAAUCAGUGUGUGUGUUAGUGGAAGCGUCUGGAAAGGCGCGCGAUACAGGGUGACAGCCCCGUACACAAAAAUGCACAUACUGUGAGCUCGAUGAGUAGGGCGGGACACGUGGUAUCCUGUCUGAAUAUGGGGGGACCAUCCUCCAAGGCUAAAUACUCCUGACUGACCGAUAGUGAACCAGUACCGUGAGGGAAAGGCGAAAAGAACCCCGGCGAGGGGAGUGAAAAAGAACCUGAAACCGUGUACGUACAAGCAGUGGGAGCACGCUUAGGCGUGUGACUGCGUACCUUUUGUAUAAUGGGUCAGCGACUUAUAUUCUGUAGCAAGGUUAACCGAAUAGGGGAGCCGAAGGGAAACCGAGUCUUAACUGGGCGUUAAGUUGCAGGGUAUAGACCCGAAACCCGGUGAUCUAGCCAUGGGCAGGUUGAAGGUUGGGUAACACUAACUGGAGGACCGAACCGACUAAUGUUGAAAAAUUAGCGGAUGACUUGUGGCUGGGGGUGAAAGGCCAAUCAAACCGGGAGAUAGCUGGUUCUCCCCGAAAGCUAUUUAGGUAGCGCCUCGUGAAUUCAUCUCCGGGGGUAGAGCACUGUUUCGGCAAGGGGGUCAUCCCGACUUACCAACCCGAUGCAAACUGCGAAUACCGGAGAAUGUUAUCACGGGAGACACACGGCGGGUGCUAACGUCCGUCGUGAAGAGGGAAACAACCCAGACCGCCAGCUAAGGUCCCAAAGUCAUGGUUAAGUGGGAAACGAUGUGGGAAGGCCCAGACAGCCAGGAUGUUGGCUUAGAAGCAGCCAUCAUUUAAAGAAAGCGUAAUAGCUCACUGGUCGAGUCGGCCUGCGCGGAAGAUGUAACGGGGCUAAACCAUGCACCGAAGCUGCGGCAGCGACGCUUAUGCGUUGUUGGGUAGGGGAGCGUUCUGUAAGCCUGUGAAGGUGUGCUGUGAGGCAUGCUGGAGGUAUCAGAAGUGCGAAUGCUGACAUAAGUAACGAUAAAGCGGGUGAAAAGCCCGCUCGCCGGAAGACCAAGGGUUCCUGUCCAACGUUAAUCGGGGCAGGGUGAGUCGACCCCUAAGGCGAGGCCGAAAGGCGUAGUCGAUGGGAAACAGGUUAAUAUUCCUGUACUUGGUGUUACUGCGAAGGGGGGACGGAGAAGGCUAUGUUGGCCGGGCGACGGUUGUCCCGGUUUAAGCGUGUAGGCUGGUUUUCCAGGCAAAUCCGGAAAAUCAAGGCUGAGGCGUGAUGACGAGGCACUACGGUGCUGAAGCAACAAAUGCCCUGCUUCCAGGAAAAGCCUCUAAGCAUCAGGUAACAUCAAAUCGUACCCCAAACCGACACAGGUGGUCAGGUAGAGAAUACCAAGGCGCUUGAGAGAACUCGGGUGAAGGAACUAGGCAAAAUGGUGCCGUAACUUCGGGAGAAGGCACGCUGAUAUGUAGGUGAAGUCCCUCGCGGAUGGAGCUGAAAUCAGUCGAAGAUACCAGCUGGCUGCAACUGUUUAUUAAAAACACAGCACUGUGCAAACACGAAAGUGGACGUAUACGGUGUGACGCCUGCCCGGUGCCGGAAGGUUAAUUGAUGGGGUCAGCGCAAGCGAAGCUCUUGAUCGAAGCCCCGGUAAACGGCGGCCGUAACUAUAACGGUCCUAAGGUAGCGAAAUUCCUUGUCGGGUAAGUUCCGACCUGCACGAAUGGCGUAAUGAUGGCCAGGCUGUCUCCACCCGAGACUCAGUGAAAUUGAACUCGCUGUGAAGAUGCAGUGUACCCGCGGCAAGACGGAAAGACCCCGUGAACCUUUACUAUAGCUUGACACUGAACAUUGAGCCUUGAUGUGUAGGAUAGGUGGGAGGCUUAGAAGUGUGGACGCCAGUCUGCAUGGAGCCGACCUUGAAAUACCACCCUUUAAUGUUUGAUGUUCUAACGUUGACCCGUAAUCCGGGUUGCGGACAGUGUCUGGUGGGUAGUUUGACUGGGGCGGUCUCCUCCUAAAGAGUAACGGAGGAGCACGAAGGUUGGCUAAUCCUGGUCGGACAUCAGGAGGUUAGUGCAAUGGCAUAAGCCAGCUUGACUGCGAGCGUGACGGCGCGAGCAGGUGCGAAAGCAGGUCAUAGUGAUCCGGUGGUUCUGAAUGGAAGGGCCAUCGCUCAACGGAUAAAAGGUACUCCGGGGAUAACAGGCUGAUACCGCCCAAGAGUUCAUAUCGACGGCGGUGUUUGGCACCUCGAUGUCGGCUCAUCACAUCCUGGGGCUGAAGUAGGUCCCAAGGGUAUGGCUGUUCGCCAUUUAAAGUGGUACGCGAGCUGGGUUUAGAACGUCGUGAGACAGUUCGGUCCCUAUCUGCCGUGGGCGCUGGAGAACUGAGGGGGGCUGCUCCUAGUACGAGAGGACCGGAGUGGACGCAUCACUGGUGUUCGGGUUGUCAUGCCAAUGGCACUGCCCGGUAGCUAAAUGCGGAAGAGAUAAGUGCUGAAAGCAUCUAAGCACGAAACUUGCCCCGAGAUGAGUUCUCCCUGACCCUUUAAGGGUCCUGAAGGAACGUUGAAGACGACGACGUUGAUAGGCCGGGUGUGUAAGCGCAGCGAUGCGUUGAGCUAACCGGUACUAAUGAACCGUGAGGCUUAACCU